This 478-nucleotide ribosomal RNA is filed under the name uncultured bacterium. Its description in RNAcentral is "partial 16S ribosomal RNA". It matches the Rfam family "Bacterial small subunit ribosomal RNA", at positions 28 to 523 of the family's 1533-position model. The record is from RNAcentral.
GACGAACGCUGGCGGCGUGCUUAACACAUACAAGUCGAACGGUAAGGCCCUUCGGGGUACACGAGUGGCGAACGGGUGAGUAACACGUGGGUGAUCUGUCCUGCACUUCGGGAUAAGCCUGGGAAACUGGGUCUAAUACCGGAUAGGACCACUGCCUGCAUGGGUGGUGGUGGAAAGCUUUUGCGGUGUGGGAUGGGCCCGCGGCCUAUCAGCUUGUUGGUGGGGUGAUGGCCUACCAAGGCGACGACGGGUAGCCGGCCUGAGAGGGUGACCGGCCACACUGGGACUGAGAUACGGCCCAGACUCCUACGGGAGGCAGCAGUGGGGAAUAUUGCACAAUGGGCGCAAGCCUGAUGCAGCGACGCCGCGUGAGGGAUGACGGCCUUCGGGUUGUAAACCUCUUUCAGCACCGACGAAGCGCAAGUGACGGUAGGUGCAGAAGAAGGACCGGCCAACUACGUGCCAGCCGCCGCGGUAA